GGACAAUCAACGGACAUAGUGAUUGCGGAAGCAGUAAAUGUUGCUCUCAUAUGGCUGUCAGCUGAAAAGUCUGUACAGGACUGCAUGUCAUUUACAGCCAAAUAAAGAAAUAUGAUGGAAUCAAUUGAAAACUACACACAAAACUGACAAACAGCUAAUGUGCAAAAGAAGACAAACUGUACAAACACGAGAAGCAGCUGCAGCAUGGAAUAGAAGGGAAGAUGCUGCCAGAAUGCAGUUGGAAGGAAAGUCCCCAUUGCAAGAAGUGCUUUGUGCUGAUGAAUGGCUCCAAGGAGGCAGGGCCAGUAGUCCUGAGAGAGAGCCAGUUUGUUUGAGAUGGACUCUGAGGGAAGUUUAGACUGUGAUGGGUACUUUCAAGCAGACCAUUGGUUCAGUGC
This is a long non-coding RNA of Hypanus sabinus (Atlantic stingray), 398 nucleotides long. RefSeq lists it as uncharacterized. NCBI's taxonomy places the organism in Eukaryota, Metazoa, Chordata, Chondrichthyes, Myliobatiformes, Dasyatidae. The record is from RefSeq and is a predicted model, not a curated record. The transcript is spliced from 3 exons.